RNAcentral lists this ribosomal RNA (252 nucleotides) under uncultured bacterium. RNAcentral's name for it is "partial 16S ribosomal RNA". It matches the Rfam family "Bacterial small subunit ribosomal RNA", at positions 524 to 776 of the family's 1533-position model. The record is from RNAcentral.
UACGUAGGUGGCGAGCGUUGUCCGGAUUUACUGGGCGUAAAGAGCGCGCAGGCGGCUGGUCAAGUCCGAUGUGAAAGCUCCCGGCUUAACUGGGAAUGGCAUUUGGGACUGCAAAGCUUGAGUGCGGCAGAGGGGACUGGAAUUCCUGGUGUAGCAGUGAAAUGCGUAGAGAUCAGGAGGAAUACCGAUGGCGAAGGCAGGUCCCUGGGCUGACACUGACGCUCAUGCACGAAAGCGUGGGGAGCAAACAGG